RNAcentral lists this ribosomal RNA (688 nucleotides) under uncultured Nitrososphaerota archaeon. RNAcentral's name for it is "bacterial SSU rRNA". It matches the Rfam family "Archaeal small subunit ribosomal RNA", at positions 82 to 773 of the family's 1478-position model. The record is from RNAcentral. Lineage: Archaea; Thermoproteati; Nitrososphaerota.
CAUACGGCUCAGUAACACGUAGUCAACAUGCCCAGGGGACGUGGAUAACCUCGGGAAACUGAGGAUAAACCGCGAUAGGUCACUACUUCUGGAAUGGGUAAUGACCCAAACCUAUAUGGCCCCUGGAUUGGACUGCGGCCGAUCAGGCUGUUGGUGAGGUAAUGGCCCACCAAACCUGUAACCGGUACGGGCUCUGAGAGGAGGAGCCCGGAGAUGGGCACUGAGACAAGGGCCCAGGCCCUAUGGGGCGCAGCAGGCGCGAAACCUCUGCAAUAGGCGAAAGCUUGACAGGGUUACUCUGAGUGAUUUCCGUUAAGGAGAUCUUUUGGCACCUCUAAAAAUGGUGCAGAAUAAGGGGUGGGCAAGUCUGGUGUCAGCCGCCGCGGUAAUACCAGCACCCCGAGUGGUCGGGACGUUUAUUGGGCCUAAAGCAUCCGUAGCCGGUUCUACAAGUCUUCCGUUAAAUCCACCUGCUCAACAGAUGGGCUGCGGAAGGUACUAUGGAGCUAGGAGGCGGGAGAGGCAAGCGGUACUCGAUGGGUAGGGGUAAAAUCCGUUGAUCCGUUGAAGACCACCAGUGGCGAAGGCGGCUUGCCAGAACGCGCUCGACGGUGAGGGAUGAAAGCUGGGGGAGCAAACCGGAUUAGAUACCCGGGUAGUCCCAGCUGUAAACGAUGCAGACUCGGUG